RNAcentral lists this unclassified non-coding RNA (512 nucleotides) under Hevea brasiliensis (rubber tree). The record is from RNAcentral. Lineage: Eukaryota; Viridiplantae; Streptophyta; Magnoliopsida; Malpighiales; Euphorbiaceae.
CACAGGGAAUUUCACCAGAAACCUGGUGACGGUGGGCAUAUUAGUCAGUAGAUUAUUGUAAAACCCAAAAAUACACCAGACAUAACAUUCCUCAGACAAAAUAAUCAUUCAUUGCCUGCUAGGGAACAUCCUGGAAACUUUAUUUGCUAGUGACAAACAGAUAUACUUAUUAAAUCAGAAUAUAGACAAUUCAAGGUUCAGUUUAAAUUGUAAGUAAGAUAACUGGUUACAGGAAAAUAUCUGCAUCACAAUACCAACUCUCAGACAAAGUGCAUUCCACAUUUAGCACAUGGCCACAUGCAGUACAAAGAGGGAGUGACAAAAGCCAAGAGACCAGUAACAUUGCCCAGCAUAAAUUUUCAAUCUGCCUAAUCUGAUACAAUGUCAUCUAAUUUUACCAAAACAUCAGAAGGCCAUAUACAGUGCAAAUCUAGAAAUAUGAAUUGCACAGCCAGUUCAUGAUGCACAAAAAAGGCAUGUUAUGGGACCCAUCUCCUUACCGGCUGCCCAUU